Molecule: long non-coding RNA, 1046 nt
Organism: Astatotilapia calliptera (eastern happy)
Lineage: Eukaryota; Metazoa; Chordata; Actinopteri; Cichliformes; Cichlidae
Source: Ensembl
GCAACAAAGUUUUUGUUAAAACAAUUGAACAUUUCAGUUUUGUCUGACACAGGAGUGGAGUCAAUAAUGAAGUGAGGAGGUAGCUCAGAGGAAUGAGAGCUGGCAGAGACUUUAUAGUUUGCCAAAAUCUCCGGUCAUCAGUGGUUAAGGUCAAAAAAUAGUCACAUUUGGCCAUCCCGAUGGAGGGAGUAAACCGAUUACCCAACUGAUGAGUCAGACUUUCUCGUCCAGGCCAGGUUUCUCUGGUUCUCUUAUCAUGUGUCAUGUGACCUGAAAGUCAGCUGACACAAGUUGCGUGUGGGUGUUGAAGCGCUUGGGAAGGGAUCUCAAAACUGUUGUAGGUGGUUGACAGUUGUGGUUCAAUAUUGGCUGUUCCCUCUGUUCAAUAUCGGCCAUUCACAUCAGCUUCUUUCACGCCUCAUCAAUUUCUUUUUCUUUCUUUCUUUCUUUCUUUCUUUCUUUCUUUCUUUCUUUCUUUCUUUCUUUCUUUCUUUCUUUCUUUCUUUCUUUCUUUCUUUCUUUCUUUCUUUAAUGCUUUGCUCUAUCAUCCUGCAUUUUUACUGAUUUGGUUCACACCAUGCUUGACAAAAACAUGGAUGGUGUAUUAGUUGCUCCAUUUAAACACAAGCAGGUGUCUGAGAAAAAAAACACUUUAUUAAUAAAAGAUAUGUUGGUGUACAGCUGUCGUGCACUUUCAUCACUUUGUAGGAGAUGUUCAAUAGCACACUUUCCUGUACGAUCAGAAUAUACACUACUGUUCAAAAGUUUGGACACACCUUCUCAUUCAAUGCUUUUUCUUUAUUUUACUACUUUCUACAUUAUAGAUACAAACUGAAAAAAUCUAAUAUCUGAAGAUAUAUGGAAUUAUGUAGCAAAGAAAACAUUGAUAAAUAACUCUAAAUAUGUUUUAUAUUUUAGAUUCGUGAAAGUAGCCGCCCCCUGCUUUGUUGACAGCACUGCAAACCCUUGGCCUUCUCUCAAUGAGCUUCAUGAUGGAGUCACCUGAAAUGGUUUUCAUGACACAGGUGUCUUGUCAGGGUUCAUCU